AUUGAACGCUGGCGGCAUGCUUUACACAUGCAAGUCGAGCGGCAGCGCGGGGGCAACCCUGGCGGCGAGCGGCGGACGGGUGAGUAAUGCAUCGGAACGUAUCCCGUAGUGGGGGACAACCCAGCGAAAGCUGGGCUAAUACCGCAUAUGCUCUACGGAGGAAAGCAGGGGACUCGCAAGAGCCUUGUGCUAUGGGAGCGGCCGAUGUCCGAUUAGCUAGUUGGUGGGUAAAGGCUUACCAAGGCGACGAUCGGUAGCUGGUCUGAGAGGAUGAUCAGCCACACUGGGACUGAGACACGGCCCAGACUCCUACGGGAGGCAGCAGUGGGAAUUUUGGACAAUGGGGGCAACCCUGAUCCAGCCAUGCCGCGUGCGGGAAGAA
This 382-nucleotide ribosomal RNA is filed under the name uncultured bacterium. Its description in RNAcentral is "bacterial SSU rRNA". It matches the Rfam family "Bacterial small subunit ribosomal RNA", at positions 29 to 412 of the family's 1533-position model. The record is from RNAcentral.